GUCAGCAGGGAUAGCACAUUGAAUGCUCCAGUUCCCAGUGGAUUACUGAAGUUAAGCAACACUGGGCGUGGUUAGUACACGGAUGGGUGACCGUCUGGUCAAUCGCACUCAGGCUGGGU
RNAcentral lists this ribosomal RNA (119 nucleotides) under Diaphorina citri (Asian citrus psyllid). The record is from RNAcentral. Lineage: Eukaryota; Metazoa; Arthropoda; Insecta; Hemiptera; Psyllidae.